This 402-nucleotide long non-coding RNA is filed under the name Brassica rapa (field mustard). RNAcentral describes it as "long non-coding RNA (BRAP_LNC003790)". The record is from RNAcentral. Lineage: Eukaryota; Viridiplantae; Streptophyta; Magnoliopsida; Brassicales; Brassicaceae.
CCUGAUUAAUUCUCUUCACUUGGUUUCCAUUCAUCCAAUUGAAUACCAAAGCUAUUUUUAAAUAAAUGAUAUUUUUAAUACAAUUAUUUUGCAAACACAGCAUAUGCUUUGGUAUUCUUUAAAAAAAAAAAAAUCAAGAUGCAAUUUUGAUCAAAAACAUUAAUGCCAUUAACAUCAUUUGCUAAAUAGAGUUUAAUUAUAAUAAUUUGGUUGUUGAAGUGGUUAAUGGAACAUUAUUUUUCAAAAAAAAAAUGCAAACUCAUAAAGCUUAUUCAGAGACAUUGAUUUCAUAUCCCUAACUAACAGUCGUUUUCUCUCUUUUUUUAUUGACUAAAUACAAAUACAACAAUUAAUCAGUCACUAACUAAUUUUGGAUCUCCUUUCUUUUUCCUUCCUAAACUU